UACGGAGGGUGCAAACGUUGCUCGGAAUCAUUGGGCGUAAAGCGUGUGUAGGCGGCAUGUUAAGUCGGGUGUGAAAGCCCCGGGCUCAACCCGGGAAGUGCAUUCGAUACUGGCAUGCUUGAGUACGGGAGAGGGUCGCGGAAUUCCCGGUGUAGAGGUGAAAUUCGUAGAUAUCGGGAGGAACACCAGUGGCGAAGGCGGCGACCUGGACCGAUACUGACGCUGAGACACGAAAGCGUGGGGAGCAAACAGG
RNAcentral lists this ribosomal RNA (253 nucleotides) under uncultured bacterium. RNAcentral describes it as "partial 16S ribosomal RNA". It matches the Rfam family "Bacterial small subunit ribosomal RNA", at positions 524 to 776 of the family's 1533-position model. The record is from RNAcentral.